Molecule: unclassified non-coding RNA, 572 nt
Filed under: Melitaea cinxia (Glanville fritillary)
Lineage: Eukaryota; Metazoa; Arthropoda; Insecta; Lepidoptera; Nymphalidae
Description: misc RNA ENSMCXG00005012048.1
Source: RNAcentral
CAUUUUUAAAUUAACUACGUAAUGAACAAUUUCGUGACUACUGCAAGUUUUUUUAUGAUGAUUAUUAUUAAAUGCACUUGCUUGGAAAAUAGUGAUUCAGUUAAAAUUCAUACUUACGAAUAUGGUGAAUAUUAAGUUUUGUUGCUUUUUGUACAAGUUCUUUAAAUUAUGUUGAUACACAUUAUUAACCGACUUCAAAAAGAAGGAGGUUAUCAAUUCGGUUGAUAAUUUUUAUGUAUGUUCACCAAUUACGGCGAGCUAUGGAAAUCACACUUACGAUGAUGUAUUAUCUUUCGUAUAUGGUGGUGUUGUACCGGCUUUUAUACCCCAUUAUAACUUGAGUGUCAAACCAAUCAAUAGUGAACAAAAUAAACCGUUUACAUAUUUGAGGAUCCAAUAUUCAAACAAUUUAUCACCAGUCGUCAUUGACUAUGAUAGAAAUAAAUCUACUGUACACUUUUACAUAAAAUAUCCGUUCAUAAAUUUCCCAUUUGGAGUGGAUGGAUAUUCUUAGCUGUUGAAAGAAGACUAUUAAAUAUAAGAGGAUAAAUUUACUGCUGCAAUCACUCUAA